This 491-nucleotide ribosomal RNA is filed under the name uncultured bacterium. RNAcentral's name for it is "bacterial SSU rRNA". It matches the Rfam family "Bacterial small subunit ribosomal RNA", at positions 15 to 518 of the family's 1533-position model. The record is from RNAcentral.
GAUCCUGGCUCAGGAUGAACGCUGGCGGCGCGCUUAACACAUGCAAGUCGAACGGUUAAAGCACCUCCGGGUGUGCAUAAAGUGGCGAACGGCUGAGUAACACGUGGGCAACCUGCCCCCCGCACCGGGAUAGCCUCGGGAAACCGUGGGUAAUACCGGAUACUCCGCCACCCCCGCAUGGGGGAGGCGGGAAAGCGUACACGGCGGGGGAUGGGCCCGCGGCCUGUUAGCUCGUUGGCGGGGUAACGGCCCACCAAGGCGAUUAUGGGUAGCCGGGUUGAGAGACCGACCGGCCAGAUUGGGACUGAGACACGGCCCAGACUCCUACGGGAGGCAGCAGUGGGGAAUCUUGCACAAUGGGCGAAAGCCUGAUGCAGCGACGCCGCGUGCGGGAUGAAGGCCCUCGGGUUGUAAACCGCUUUCAGCAGGGACGAGGCGCAAGUGACGGUACCUGCAGAAGAAGCCCCGGCUAACUACGUGCCAGCAGCUGC